This 354-nucleotide unclassified non-coding RNA is filed under the name uncultured fungus. Its description in RNAcentral is "sequence contains ITS1". The stretch from base 1 to 99 matches the Rfam family "5.8S ribosomal RNA", at positions 50 to 154 of the family's 154-position model. Lineage: Eukaryota; Fungi. The record is from RNAcentral.
GAAUUGCGAUAAGUAAUGUGAAUUGCAGAUCACAGAAUCAUUAAAUCUUUGAACGCACAUUGCGCUCCCUUAAUACGGAGCAUGCCUGUUUGAGAAUCUGUUUAAUUAUCACGCUAGUUGUUUGUUCAAUUAGAGUGGAUUUGGGACAUGUCUUUUGGUAACCGGGGUUAUCGAGAGACUGGCCUUGAAGAAAUGUGUACAUCAUCGAGAUUGACGACAUGAUCAUAGGACGCAGGUUCAUAGAACUGUUCAAGUAAUCUUUGUUUGUUGCGACACCACCUUUAUUAAAUACUUGUGCAUUUAUGCAUAAAAGACUUUGAUCUCAAAUCAGGCAAGACUACCCGCUGAACUUAA